UAGGGAAUCUUCGGCAAUGGGCGAAAGCCUGACCGAGCAACGCCGCGUGAAUGAAGAAGGCCUUCGGGUUGUAAAAUUCUGUUAUAAGGGAAGAAAGGUGAUAGGAGGAAAUGACUAUCAAUUGACGGUACCUUAUGAGAAAGCCACGGCUAACUACGUGCCAGCAGCCGCGGUAAUACGUAGGUGGCAAGCGUUAUCCGGAAUUAUUGGGCGUAAAGAGCGCGCAGGUGGUUAAUUAAGUCUGAUGUGAAAGCCCACGGCUUAACCGUGGAGGGUCAUUGGAAACUGGUUGACUUGAGUGCAGAAGAGGGAAGUGGAAUUCCAUGUGUAGCGGUGAAAUGCGUAGAGAUAUGGAGGAACACCAGUGGCGAAGGCGGCUUCCUGGUCUGCAACUGACACUGAGGCGCGAAAGCGUGGGGAGCAAACAG
RNAcentral lists this ribosomal RNA (428 nucleotides) under uncultured bacterium. RNAcentral describes it as "bacterial SSU rRNA". It matches the Rfam family "Bacterial small subunit ribosomal RNA", at positions 355 to 775 of the family's 1533-position model. The record is from RNAcentral.